Long non-coding RNA from Xiphophorus couchianus (Monterrey platyfish), 330 nucleotides. RefSeq lists it as uncharacterized. The record is from RefSeq and is a predicted model, not a curated record. NCBI's taxonomy places the organism in Eukaryota, Metazoa, Chordata, Actinopteri, Cyprinodontiformes, Poeciliidae. The transcript is spliced from 3 exons.
UAAGUCAUGACAACACGGCUCCUCUAUUUAGCCCUUUAAUGACAUUUUUACCAGUCUCACUGAAACGUAGCUCCUUUAAUGAGCUCAGCUAAUGAGCAGUUCCACCAGGUGUUUGCUAAUUGCUGCUGGCUAGUCUGAAGGAGCUGAGAGUGCUGCUCUGUGAGGCAAAAGCUCGUAAGGAGGAGGAGGAGCUUUGUCCUCGAAGGUGGAGCUGGGUCCAUCCAGGCGUUUUGUGCAGCUGAAUGGUUGCCACGGGAGAUUAAUGGAUUUCUCAAACAUGCAUGAAAUAAUCAAAGCAACACCCCAGGUAUGCAUCUGAAAAAGUCUAUU